This is a small nuclear RNA of Lampris incognitus (smalleye Pacific opah), 135 nucleotides long. RefSeq annotates it as U11 spliceosomal RNA. The transcript has a single exon. The record is from RefSeq and is a predicted model, not a curated record. NCBI's taxonomy places the organism in Eukaryota, Metazoa, Chordata, Actinopteri, Lampriformes, Lampridae.
AAAAAGGGCUUCUGCCAUGAAUGGCACAGAGAAUGUGGGACAACCACGGUCUCUGCGGAAUCGACAUCAAGAGAUUUCGGAAGCACAAUUUUUACAAACCGGGGCUGCUGGUGACCGUUGCUUCCUGGCGCCCCA